RNAcentral lists this ribosomal RNA (427 nucleotides) under uncultured marine bacterium. RNAcentral describes it as "bacterial SSU rRNA". It matches the Rfam family "Bacterial small subunit ribosomal RNA", at positions 360 to 804 of the family's 1533-position model. The record is from RNAcentral.
AAUAUUGCACAAUGGGGGAAACCCUGAUGCAGCCAUGCCGCGUGAGUGAAGAAGGCCCUAGGGUUGUAAAGCUCUUUCAAUAGUGAAGAUAAUGACGGUAGCUAUAGAAGAAGCUCCGGCUAAAUUCGUGCCAGCAGCCGCGGUAAUACGAAUGGAGCAAGCGUUGUUCGGAACCACUGGGCUUAAAGCGUAUGUAGGCGGACUAGCAAGUCAGGAGUGAAAUCCCAGGGCUCAACCCUGGAACUGCUCUUGAAACUGCAAGUCUAGAAUACUGGAGAGGUCGGGAGAAUUCCUAGUGUAGAGGUGAAAUUCGCAGAUAUUAGGAGGAAUAUAAGUGGCGUAGGCGCCCGACUGGACAGUUAUUGACGCUCAGAUACGAAAGCGUGGGGAGCAAACAGGAUUAGAUACCCUGGUAGUCCACGCCGUA